GGUGAACGCUGGCGGGGGGCUUAACACAUGCGAGUCGAGCGCAGGCCCCUUUACCUUUUGGUAGAGGGGUGCUGAGCGGCAAACGGGCGAGUAACACGUGCCUAACCUGCCCCGGAGUGGGGGAUAACGGGGGAAACUCCGCUAAUCCCCCAUACGCUCCUUGGGGUGAGAUUCCCCUUGGAGGAAAGGCCAGGAAGGGUAACUGACCUGGUCGCUCUGGGAGGGGGGCGCGGCCCAUCAGCUAGUUGGUGAGGUAACGGCUCACCAAGGCUAUGACGGGUAGCCGGCCUGAGAGGGUGACCGGCCGCAACGGGACUGAGACACGGCCCGGACUCCUACGGGAGGCAGCAGUGGGGAAUUUUGGGCAAUGGGCGCAAGCCUNACCCAGCGACGCUGCGUGGAGGAAGAAGCCCUUCGGGGUGUAAACUCCUGUCACCGGGGACGAAGCUUAUCAGGGUUAAUAGCCCUGAUGAGUGACGGUACCCGGAGAGGAAGGGACGGCUAACUACGUGCCAGCAGCCGCGGUUAAUACGUA
Molecule: ribosomal RNA, 535 nt
Filed under: uncultured Desulfurobacterium sp.
Lineage: Bacteria; Pseudomonadati; Aquificota; Aquificia; Desulfurobacteriales; Desulfurobacteriaceae
Description: bacterial SSU rRNA
Rfam family: Bacterial small subunit ribosomal RNA
Source: RNAcentral